AGUUGGCAAUUAACUUCCUCAAAGAAGUUAUGUGAGAAUGAAUGAGACCUAAGCAUUGCCUCUUCCGUCUGGCAGCUAUUAGCCUUUAUUAGUUACAGUGUUCAUGCUGGGGCAGGUGCUGUUUUCAGAUCUCAAUGGAUAUUCACUCAUUGAACCCUCACAAGGCCAUGAGGCACAUUCUAUUAUCCCUGUUUUGUAGAGGAGGAAACAGACUUCUGAAGCUAAGUAACUUGUCCAAGCUAACACAGCUAAUAAGUAGCAGAUCCAGUAUCAACGUAGGCAGUAUGGCUCCUCCGUUUCCUCCACCAUAUGCCUGGCGGUUAGUACAGAAAUAGAAACCAUCACUAUGAUAGCAAAUACAGUGUUUAGUAUUCCUUUCAACAAUUCGUUUUAUGCUUCCUCCUAUAAAGUUACACUGGGGAGAAAACAAAUAAAUGAACGGAGUGUCCAUUUAUCCUCAUCUAACAUUAAUUGUUACAUGCCCCAAACAAAUAGGAAAAAGACUUAUUUCAGAAAACAAUAUGUAUGUAAGUGGCCACUAGAGAUAGUCUUCUAUAUUGUUUGUAUUCAUUCCUGGGACAUGUAUUUAGAGACUUCUGUGUUCCAGGCCUGUGCUAGAUCUGGUAAAACAAAAAUGAGUAAAAGGUGAUAUUUAUUCUCAAGAAUCUCACACCUCCUUCUUCUAUGAUAGAUUCUUACAAGCCCUUUGAUAUUUAGUAGAGGCAGUUCUUUCCUCUGGAAACUUACAGUGUCCCUUCUGCAUUGGGAUCUUAGUACAACAUUGCUGUGCAAACUUGGACCAGGGCAGGGUGAGAUAGCAGAGGAGCUGUGCCAGCAUCUACAGCGAAAGGAAAGGAUGCUGCAGGACCUUCUAAGUGAUUGAAACAAACUAGUGGUGGAAGAUGAAAUGGAGAUUCAAAGCCUGCUUCAGUCUAUGAGCACCAGGGAGCAGGAAAGCCAAAAGAGAGAAGAUGGUGCAAGCCUUAAUGGAAAGAAAUUCAGAAUUACAGGCCCUGCGCCAAUAUUUAGGAGGGAGAGACUCCCUGAUGUCCCAAGUACCCAUCUCUAACCAACAAGCUGGAGUUACCUACAUUGGCCCCUGCUUUUGUAGAAAAGACUGAUCAAUUUUUUAGGGUUCAAUGCAGAUACCUUCCAGAGAUGGUAGCACUUCAUUGACUGCCAAAUAGGAUGCCAGCAUACCCAGAUCCACAUUAGGAGACUUGGACACAGUUGCAGGGCUGGAAAAAGAACUGAGUAAUGCCAAAGCGGAAUUUGAACUUAUGGCUAAAAAAGAAAGAAAAAGUCAAUUGCUGCUGAUGGUAGAAGGACUAGUAGAUGAAUGGAGUCAACUCAGUGAGGCCUUACAAGCAGAGAGACAGCUGUAUAGCAGUCUGGUGAAGUUCCAUGUCCAUCCAGAGAGCUCUGAGAGAGACCGAACUCUGCAAGUGGAACUGGAAGGGGCUCAGGUGUUACGCAGUCGGCUAGAAGAAGUUCUUGGAAGAAGCGUGGAGCGCUUAAACAGGCUGGAGACCCUGGCCGCCAUUGGAGGUGGGGAACUGGAAAGUGUGCGAAUUCAUCACAAGCAUGCCUACUGAGCACUGGCAGGUCAGACUGCAGCCCAGGAUGGAAAACCUUGUUUGUAAUAACCAGAAAGAUCCUUAUCUGACUUUGACAGAAUUAAAUGGUGACUUACUAAUGAUAGAACUGGUACAAGUAGCAUCAACUACAAAGUGAAACUCACUUUAGCCUACAUGGAUCUCACUGUACAUACAUAUUCCUAAAUUGAAUGGUAGAGGUUGCAAAGUGUAUUUGCACAUUUUAAAUCAUUCUGUUUUAGUUUUUCCACUUUUAUUCAUUCGUAUCCCUAGCCCCUUCUCAUUCCCUCGUCCCUUCUGUGGGCCAAUAAAGUUUAUUCUUCCCCCAUUUUCACAAUCCAUUUCAUAUGUUCCAUAUCAUAUCAUAAAUGCAUGUGUGUGUAUUAUUUUUGCCAUUCAGUCAACUCCUCUUUGAGUGACAGCAUUUUUUAAAUCAAGAGAAUACAAGUUUUAAGAUGAGAGAGUGGGAAAGAGAUUGAGAGUCUAUAAGAAUGACUUUGUAAAAGUGAUAUAAUCCUUAUCAGAAGGUAAUCAAAACCAGGAGAGUAGUCUUGUAAUAGUAGACUGCAAGUACUGGGAAGGCCAAGUUAAAGAACAGAGGCAAAAACUGUGAAAGUUAUCAUAGUAAACUUUUAUCUCCAAUACUGUCUCAGAGUUGACUGUUGUACACAAGUGAAAUUAGAUUAGGUACAGAUUAAUUUCUAUUUAAAGUUUGUUCUUUAUUGAUACCAUUAGGUUUCUUUAAACUAAAGUCAUGCUAUUUAGUCAGAACAUGACUUCUAGAAUGGUCUUCCAGAGUCAGAAUUCUCUGUCUACAAAGAUAAUUUCAAAUGUAGUAUCCCUUUUUAUAUUCAGUGUUUCACCAAAUAACUCAUUAUAGCCAAAGGAGGGUAUUGCUUCAUCCAUUUGUGGCACUAGAUAGGGUCCUAAGUUUUUCACUAUUUAGUAUGUAUACAUUUCUCUAUAUAAAAAGAAGUAAUCGGCUUCAGGCUUUGAAGUGCUCGAAUAGUUUAAAAAGAAAUCUUACAGAUGUAUGUUCAUAGUUUUAAUCAUUGUCUCAAUGCUUUUUUGUGGCAACACGACAGGUAUAAGGAGAGGGGCACUGGAGAUUGUAUUUCUGAUGUCUUGACAGUCAAGAGUGUGAAAAGUAACCAAUAUUGGUUUGCAGCUUUGUGGGUUCAACAUCAUGAAUUUGUUUUUAUUUCCUCUGGUUUUAAGUUUCCUAGGUUAGAAACUGAGGUUUCAGUUACUUUAAACAUGGAAUUUGGAAACAGCUUUGUAGCAUAAUAAAUGUGACUGAAUACCCUUUCUAAACUAAGUGGGGCACAAUGAUUUUUUUCCUUCCAUUUUUUUUUUACAUGACACUUUAUUUCUUUCACAUGUUGACAUGGCUUGUAUUACAUUCUAAAUUUCAUCUGUUUCUGUAACUUUAGCUGUGUCUAUAACAGAUAGAGCAUCAGUUAAACUAGAUGGACAGGGAGAAAAUGUUCUACUGGGGAAGCACUCUGGAAUCUUCUGAUUAAGUAAUUUGCAAAAGAUUGAUAGCCAUAAGCCUUACUCUUAAUGGAUCUGCCAUUUCAGUUUCAAUGCCUUUUGUGGAAAAAGGAGUCAUUUAAGGAAGGAGAUAGGAAGUGUAGGCAGAUCCAUCCACUUUUCUUAGUCUCCCAGUUUUAAGAAACCAUUUAUUGCACAAAAUGUUUUGUAACUUUCCAGAAGUAAAGAGGAAGGUAAUGGAGCUGUAGAAAUGCCAACCCAUCAAAGACUAGUUUGUCGUGUCAUUACAAUAGGUCAUUUAGGGAACCUCUUUCCUUAAUUUUACUAAUAGACCAAGGAAGCCCUCUGAGUCUGCUAUUAACAUUCGGCUCUGGGUGAUUCUUUGUUUCUAAUGGCUCAUAGUGAUUACAGUUUAUGUUAAUAAUCACUCCUACUUCUGUCAACAUCCAGCAAGAGUAGAUUGAAAGAAGGAUAAAUUAAAAGUCUGAUCUUAAUCUCAUAAGUGUGACUAAAAUAUGGCACUAACUUUUUCUUGUCUAGAUAGCUGGAAUGAGGCUUACAAACAGUGUUAUCUGGAGAAAGCUUGCUGGUCUAACAACCUUGGGUGUUGGAUACAUCAUUUAAUAGUACUUAGCAUGAUAUAAUAUUCCAUUUUCUCUUCAGGAGCACAGACUCUUUCUCAUACUGGAUUAUUCUAACUUUGACAGUCAUAUUUCAACAUGACAGUAAUUUUAGAUAAAGCAUCGUGUGCUUAUAGAACCUUCUGCUUGAGUAAAAAUAAUUUUCAAAUAGAAAUAAUGAAGUAGAAACAAGAUAGGGGGGCCAAGAUGGCCGAAUAGGAACAGCUCCAGCCUCCAGCUCCCAUUGUG
This is a long non-coding RNA of Piliocolobus tephrosceles (Ugandan red Colobus), 3958 nucleotides long. RefSeq lists it as uncharacterized. NCBI's taxonomy places the organism in Eukaryota, Metazoa, Chordata, Mammalia, Primates, Cercopithecidae. The transcript is spliced from 6 exons. The record is from RefSeq and is a predicted model, not a curated record.